CACCACUCAUCCUUUCGUCCCCCCCUCUCCUACGCACCCAUAGCUGCCGCCCUAUCCCUCCCUUAGAUCUCGAUCCACCGCUGCCCCCAAACCCACCCCCCGUCGACGACCCUCACCGUAGACGUGGUGCUGUGGCGCCAAGGCCGGGCCGACCUGAGCGCCUUACUCCUAGCGACUGCCGUCACCGUGGCCAGGAGAGUCUCGCUCCGCGAGGCCGCACUCGCGACCUGCUACCCCGCGCGCGCCAAAUCCAGUAGUUGGCUCGCUCGCUUGCUGUUGUAGGUGAGUGCUGGUGGAGCUUGAAUCGGGGAGGAGGAAGGCUGCAGAUCCGGCGGGCGAGGAGGCAAGCCGUGGGUUGCAAGAAGGCGGUGGUGGUGUGCGCGCUCAUCGGCUUCCUCGGCGUCCUCUCCGUCGUGCUUGGCUUCGCCGCCAAGGGCACCCGCGUCAAGGUGUCGGACUGUUUCCUGAACAGGGAGAAGGACUACAAGGACGGGACGUUCUCCUAGGUCGUCUCCAAUGCCAUCGAUAUGAAGCUCAGGGAUGACCUUGAGAGGCUCAAGAAGAUCAGGGAGCUCUGCAUCCGAGUCUCAUCCAUCCUCGGCAGGAAGGAGCUGGGCCAAGGGAGCAAGAAGCACUUCUGGUUACUUGGGGCUAGAUCGAGUAAUAUGGCGCACCAUGGCGUGUGGCGGCCUAUUUUGCUUCCAAGAGAAGUACUGUUUAUUUGAAAUGAGAUGUACUCGUAUACUGCCUAGUAAAAUUGAAUGAUUGCCAUGUACUAUCUAUGAUGUAGUGAGCUGUAGGAGUGAAAUGAAAUUUUAUUUGUUGU
This is a long non-coding RNA of Triticum dicoccoides, 826 nucleotides long. RefSeq lists it as uncharacterized. The record is from RefSeq and is a predicted model, not a curated record. The transcript has 3 exons. Lineage: Eukaryota; Viridiplantae; Streptophyta; Magnoliopsida; Poales; Poaceae.